Long non-coding RNA from Cherax quadricarinatus, 391 nucleotides. RefSeq lists it as uncharacterized. The record is from RefSeq and is a predicted model, not a curated record. Lineage: Eukaryota; Metazoa; Arthropoda; Malacostraca; Decapoda; Parastacidae.
GUCAUGGCGGCGGAGUGGCGGCACAAAACACCUCACACCGACCUGCAAUGUUUACAGUCAGUGUUACAAUACAUUAUUUAAUAGGAUAAAAGCUGUUAUUUUACCUCAGCUGAUUUCAAAACCCAGCCCUAGCUGAGACACGACCUACUUCCACUAGUGGCUUUGUUCACUGGUGACUCCGACUACCACUGUUCCACCUCAUCUGUCAUCAGUAUAUAAGCUCCAUCUCCGCAAAUAUGCUGCACUUUUGUAAAAAUUGAUGGAACGGAAACAACGACUCCAGGCUGAGGGACUGAUUACCUCAAACUCCUCAGCUUCCACGUUUUUCUGCACUGGACUGACGAAGUUACUGUGUGGCGAAACGUUUCCAGAAUAAAAAUACCCAAAUGUU